RNAcentral lists this ribosomal RNA (378 nucleotides) under uncultured bacterium. Its description in RNAcentral is "bacterial SSU rRNA". It matches the Rfam family "Bacterial small subunit ribosomal RNA", at positions 28 to 415 of the family's 1533-position model. The record is from RNAcentral.
GACGAACGCUGGCGGCGUGCUUAACACAUGCAAGUCACGGGGGGCUCGCAAGAGCUAACCGGCGAACGGGUGCGUAACACGUGAACAACCUGCCCUCGUGUGGGGGAUAGCCAUGCUAACGCGUGGGUAAUACCGCAUACGUUUCUCUGGGGGAGUCCCUGGGGAAGGAAAGCUCCGGCGCACGGGGGAGGGGUUCGCGGCCUAUCAGCUAGUUGGUGCGGUAACGGCGCACCAAGGCGACGACGGGAGCUGGUCUGAGAGGAUGGCCAGCCACAUUGGGACUGAGAGACGGCCCAGACUCCUACGGGAGGCAGCAGUGGGGAAUCUUGCGCAAUGGUCUAACGACUGACGCAGCGACGCCGCGUGUGGGAGGACGCC